CUACGGGCGGCUGCAGUGGGGAAUAUUGGACAAUGGGGGAAACCCUGAUCCAGCAAUGCCGCGUGUGUGAAGAAGGCCUGCGGGUUGUAAAGCACUUUCGGUUGGGAGGACUGCUUCUAGCACUAAUAUUGUUGGAAGUUGACGUUACCUUCAGAAGAAGCACCGGCUACCUCCGUGCCAGCAGCCGCGGUAAUACGGAGGGGCAAGCGUUAAUCGGAAUUACUGGGCGUAAAGCGCGCGUAGGCGGCUAGAUCAGUCGGGUGUGAAAGCCCCGGGCUUAACCUGGGAACUGCAUCCGAUACUGUCUAGCUUGAGUACAGGAGAGGAGAGUGGAAUUCCACAUGUAGCGGUGAAAUGCGUAGAUAUGUGGAGGAACACCAAUGGCGAAGGCAGCUCUCUGGCCUGAUACUGACGCUGAGGUGCGAAAGCGUGGGGAGCAAACAGGAUUAGAUACCCCUGUAGUC
This 464-nucleotide ribosomal RNA is filed under the name uncultured bacterium. RNAcentral describes it as "partial 16S ribosomal RNA". It matches the Rfam family "Bacterial small subunit ribosomal RNA", at positions 339 to 795 of the family's 1533-position model. The record is from RNAcentral.